Molecule: ribosomal RNA, 529 nt
Filed under: Salmonella enterica
Lineage: Bacteria; Pseudomonadati; Pseudomonadota; Gammaproteobacteria; Enterobacterales; Enterobacteriaceae
Description: partial 23S ribosomal RNA
Rfam family: Bacterial large subunit ribosomal RNA
Source: RNAcentral
UUAAGUUGCAGGGUAUAGACCCGAAACCCGGUGAUCUAGCCAUGGGCAGGUUGAAGGUUGGGUAACACUAACUGGAGGACCGAACCGACUAAUGUUGAAAAAUUAGCGGAUGACCUGUGGCUGGGGGUGAAAGGCCAAUCAAACCGGGAGAUAGCUGGUUCUCCCCGAAAGCUAUUUAGGUAGCGCCUCGUGAAUUCAUCUCCGGGGGUAGAGCACUGUUUCGGCUAGGGGGCCAUCCCGGCUUACCAACCCGAUGCAAACUGCGAAUACCGGAGAAUGUUAUCACGGGAGACACACGGCGGGUGCUAACGUCCGUCGUGAAGAGGGAAACAACCCAGACCGCCAGCUAAGGUCCCAAAGUCAUGGUUAAGUGGGAAACGAUGUGGGAAGGCCCAGACAGCCAGGAUGUUGGCUUAGAAGCAGCCAUCAUUUAAAGAAAGCGUAAUAGCUCACUGGUCGAGUCGGCCUGCGCGGAAGAUGUAACGGGGCUAAACCAUGCACCGAAGCUGCGGCAGCGACGCUUAUGCGU